UAUGCACCCGUUCGGAAUCUCGCAUCGUCGGACGGCCCCGUACGAGCAGCAGCACUAGAUACUGGGAAGCAGAAGUACAGACAGUUCGGGCCUGUUGGGGACGCCUGUGUCGAAGACCACCACCAGCUGUGUGUGAGUGGGACUUUUUUGGUCCGGAUUAUUCUGGAUUUGUUUUUGGAGGCGAUUCUGUGGGAAGCUGUGUGUGGGGGAGUCUGGAGACCCCCGCGGAACAGUCACCUGUUUCGAGUGGUGUGAUGUGUUUUUUUUUUUCUUGAAGCAAGGAGAAGGAUUGGUUGACAGAUUUUCCGGGGGCACAUCUGUGUGAACUCUGUAGUGUUGGUGGUGGUGGAGUGCCCAGCAAGAAUCUCUUUGCAUCCAUUAUUGAUGGGGGAGACUGCGAAGAUCCGAAUGGUGCCGGAGGCCACUGGGCUGCUGAAUAAAUGAUUGUACUUUGUCUCCUCCCAGGACCUAUCCCAGCUGUAGUGGCAACACAAGAGUCUCGAACUUGUCGUCGAAGGUCCCGGUCCAGCAUCCGACGGGCUGUUUUGCUGUGUGAGUGUUUGCGUGGGGUUGUGAGUUGGCUUUUCCCGUGGAAAAUCCUACCCGAGUAAGACUGACGGCCGGGAAUGAUAACGCUUGAGUACAAUAUUUUAGCCAUCUGUCACGGGGCUACGACGAAUCUGAAGGAUUCGAGUGCCGUUUGCCGAUAAGAUCGCGGUAUAAAUCACACCAAAUCGUGUGUGAAUGUGUGCCCGUGUAUUUGUGUGAAUUUGGUGUGGGAUACAUGGAAAUUCGACCGAACCUGCUCUGAUAUCGCGCGCGCUCGAGAAGAAGAGGCCCAAAUAUAUACGUACGCAGAGAGUUUGUGUGUAGGAUUCAAAAAUACAUUUCACCUCACCAUCAGCAGAAAGUGUUGAGGUUAGAGAGUUGAAAAGUUCGGAAAUCGAAGGUAAAAUAUACAUAAAAGAAAUCGAAAGCCAAAAAAACGCGUUGAAGGAUACACUCUUUUUCUGGGAUUGAAAGAGACCUCAAGCAACCGGCCAGUGAAAGUGUUGGUGCGAUCCAUUUCGAGAAGGAGAAAGUGUUCCAAAGGAAGAAAAAGGAAAAGUAAAGAAGAAAAACAGCAUAAAUCAGUGACGAAGAAGGAAAAGAGUAUAGAAAAAGUGGUGGAAUGAGAAAAAAAUUGUAAUUGUUAUUGAUCGAGAAGAGAGAAAAAAAAAGUCAAAAGAAGAAAAGCAGAAUAUAUUAAGGCAAAGAAGUAGAGUCGUGUCCGUGUUUGUGUGUGUGCACACGAUCAAAGUGAAAAGGAAACCAGCCGAAGGAAAGAGGAAAAGGAAGGAAGGAAGUUGCGAAGAAGAAGAGUCCAGUCUGGAAGUGAUUUUGGGGUCGUGCCAACUAUACAUUUGCGUGAACGGGCUCGCGUCGAACCUGCAAUUAAUAAUAAUAGUGUGAGGUGAGGAAAACCCAUUCGAACGUGGCAACAAUUGUUUGUGUGCUGCCGCCAGUGUACGUGUGCAAGAUUAAUCAUCAACACCAGCAGCAGCAAAUAUCCAAUCCGAGGAAACCCCAAAGAAUUUCCCGCACAAGCAAAUUUCCCUCCGUGCCAGCUCGGAAGCAUCCAAACUAAGCAACAAAAAAGAAAAACCAGCAACGUCAAAAAGGAAAAACUUCACUACUCUACAGUGUUUGUGUGUGCACGAGUGUGAGUGCGAGUGCGUGGGGAGGCAAAACUGGCUGGUGUUAGUGGCUCCCCCGAGAAGAGUUUUUCUUUGCUUUAAGGUUUUGCUUCUUCCUGCAUCGAGCGUCGUCGAACUCGUCGUCUUCGGACUACAGGUUUCCAUCAGUUUCCGAAGCAACAACAAAAAAAAAACGCAGCACCAGUUUGCUCCCGUUGGAAGUCCCACUGAUGUUGUAACUGAGCCAACAGCAAUAAAGGUAAGGCAAAAAAGCGAUCGUCACACAAAUUACGACAUCUACAAUCGUUGAAUUAAAUUCACAGUCGUGUUUAACCCACAAAAAAAACCACCCAGCCCAUUAAAACCAUCUGCGUUAAUUCCUGUAAACACACAAACACAACACUUUGCAGAUGGAAUUUUCCCCGGCAAGAUGUGAUUCACCAGCAGCAAAACAAACGUCUUAACAGCGAACAUAAAGCGCAGUGAAACGAAACUUUUCAAAUUAAUUCUUCCCGGGUUUUUUUUUUGUCGACUUCUCAGCAACAAUUUAAUCUUGCAUAAAUUUGCAAAAGAAAAGAAAGCCAUAGAGUGCUUCUACUUGGUCAGGGUCCUUUCAUUUUAAUGUGCACCUUUUCGGAGGAAAAGCAACAAACGCUCUGCUGGCAGCACUGCCUCUGAUUAUUUUUUUUGCUUGCAGAGGGUAAAGUAAUUGCCACCUUAAUGGCUCUUUCUUGGUUUUUUUGUGAUUUUUGUGGAAAUUUUCUGCGGUGGAUUGUUGAGUUUUUGUUCGUGAAAAUUUUAAUCUUAUAAGUGUAGUAAAUAAAUAACGUUCGCUAAACUGGAACUGAAAUUUUAAUCGCUACUCACCUUUGCAUUCACCAAAGCAUGAAACAACACUUUUCGCAACUUUGCCUAACAAAACGCAUAAAUCAUGCUCU
Molecule: long non-coding RNA, 2614 nt
Organism: Culex quinquefasciatus (southern house mosquito)
Lineage: Eukaryota; Metazoa; Arthropoda; Insecta; Diptera; Culicidae
Exons: 3
Source: RefSeq, a predicted model, not a curated record